Nicrophorus vespilloides is the source of this 951-nucleotide long non-coding RNA. RefSeq lists it as uncharacterized. The record is from RefSeq and is a predicted model, not a curated record. The transcript has 3 exons. NCBI's taxonomy places the organism in Eukaryota, Metazoa, Arthropoda, Insecta, Coleoptera, Silphidae.
UGGCGGUCGUCCUACGAUCCGGUGUCGGUGUCGUCGAGGAAACCAGCAACUUCUGGAGGAGUGCUGUUACCUCAGCGAUAGACUGCAAAAAGCCAUAAGCUUUUUAAGGGUCCGGACGCGAAGAGCAAUCCGUGGAGCGGCUUCAGCGGGUAUCCGGCCUUGCGAGCAAGACGAAGCCGAAGAAGCACUGGGCGGGUAUAGAAUAGCAGCCUAGGCUAUCGCUCAAUUUAUUUGAUUUAUUUUUUUAUUGGGAUUGGAGAAUAUUUCUGCUACAAUCCUCUUUAAACAACUCGUAUUGAAUUUAAAUUUGACUGCUUUUCUCUCGGUUCGCUCGAAUGGUAAAAUUCACUGCACUAUUUGAAACACACUUGGGGUUGUUUAAUCGUCGGGCAAAUACGUUGUGGAUUCUAAUUGAAAGUCGCAUCCACCAAAGCGCAGCACUGCACAACCAACAAACACACAAGCACGUAAAAAUCCUGCGGAGCGACAGACGCGUUCUACGUUAGCGAAUGCCAGAUGCAGACUGUAUGCUAUGCUGAAGAGCGCAACGACAGAGUGCUGCUAUGGUAGAAGCGUCUACUAGAAGCCGUGGUGGGGGGAUGGACGGUGUUACGUUAGAUAUCCCAAAGUAAAAUCUACAUGCAAACUAUGUAACGCUCUCUACGGCAAUCUACCCUCGAAUGGGCAACACCCGGCUUGUGCUUUAAUAUAAGGGUCGGACAGCUGCUCGCCGGCUGCUUUGGGGGUUGAAAAUAAUGGAAAAAGGUUGAAAGAUUGAUAACACUGGCAUAUGUGGUCCAGGGUAUAAAUUGACCAACGUCAAGCAGAUGACGGGGUUUGCGGGGAAAAGCUGCAAACGACAUUCGGUCAAUAAGGGACGAUAAGGGCGGCGAUAAGGAAGGACUUAAUUGCCAUAGGCAUAGCACGCGCGACGACAACGGAGAGUUUGAC